AACGAACGCUGGCGGCAUGCCUAACACAUGCAAGUCGAACGAGACCUUCGGGUCUAGUGGCGCACGGGUGCGUAACGCGUGGGAACCUGCCCUUAGGUUCGGAAUAACUCCCCGAAAGGGGUGCUAAUACCGGAUAAUGUCUUCGGACCAAAGAUUUAUAGCCUUUGGAGGGGCCCGCGUUGGAUUAGCUAGUUGGUAGGGUAAAAGCCUACCAAGGCGACGAUCCAUAGCUGGUCUGAGAGGAUGAUCAGCCACACUGGGACUGAGACACGGCCCAGACUCCUACGGGAGGCAGCAGUGGGGAAUAUUGGACAAUGGGCGAAAGCCUGAUCCAGCAAUGCCGCGUGAGUGAUGAAGGCCUGAGGGUUGUAAAGCUCUUUUACCCGGGAUGAUAAUGACAGUACCGGGAGAAUAAGCUCCGGCUAACUCCGUG
RNAcentral lists this ribosomal RNA (433 nucleotides) under uncultured bacterium. RNAcentral's name for it is "partial 16S ribosomal RNA". It matches the Rfam family "Bacterial small subunit ribosomal RNA", at positions 29 to 507 of the family's 1533-position model. The record is from RNAcentral.